Molecule: ribosomal RNA, 822 nt
Filed under: Triticum aestivum (bread wheat)
Lineage: Eukaryota; Viridiplantae; Streptophyta; Magnoliopsida; Poales; Poaceae
Description: partial small subunit ribosomal RNA
Source: RNAcentral
GUGGAAGCACGGCUCCAUGGACAUGGCGCGCACGCACGGCGUCUCGGGCACCUUGUGGUCCUUGGCGAUCAUGAGCAUGGUGGGACGCAGCCCCGCGAGGCUGCUGCUCAUGUAGCCGAACGUGGAUAUCCCCGUGGUGAGCAGCACGUCGGAGAAGCUGAGCAGGUAGAUCUCCGCCAGCGCCUUCUGGUUGUGCGACCGCUGCCCCAUCGUCUGCUUCUCCUCGUGGCUCGGCUGGAACACCCCCACCCCGCCACCGCCCUCCGCCGCGUGCUCGUAGUACGUCGACUUGAUCCUCUCGUAGUACUCAGCCCGCAGCGAUGCGAUCAAGAUGGCCUUGGAUUUGCUGGAGCCGUUGGCCGCGGCGCUCGUCGUGUUCGCCUCGUCGCCGUCGACGUCCGGCAGUAUGUGCUCCUGCCGGGAGCACGCCAUGAUCUGGUCGUACAUGUCGUCGACGGGGAUGGACGCCCAGGAGAACAUCCUGAUCUGCACACCGAUCCUCUCCUCCGCCUGGGCCAGGUACGAGUGGUAGUAGCGCGUGAUCAUGCCCCACACGGAGUUGGACGGGUGGAACAGGUACCGGCCGAGGAGGUGCGCCACGCUCUCCAUAGCCGGGAACAGCCUCCGGAGCUCGCCUUCGAACUCGGCCAUGUCGUACAGCGCCGGCACGAAGUAGAAGUCGUUCUGCAGCAGCAGCCAGUUCACCUUGGCCAGCACCAGCUGGUCGUCGUUGCAGUAGAAGCGCCGGUCCGAGCGCCGGAGGUCGUGCGCCAGGUGCAGGUACACGUACGGCGGCACCGACUGCGCCGUCGCCUUGGCUAG